AAGUCGUAACAAGGUUUCCGUAGGUGAACCUGCGGAAGGAUCAUUAUUGAAAUAAACCUGAUGGGUUGCUGCUGGCUCUCUCGGGAGCAUGUGCACACUUGUCAUCUUUAUAUCUCCACCUGUGCACCUUUUGUAGAUCUGGAUAUCUUUCUGAAUGCCUGCAUUCAGGUUUGAGGAUUGACUUGUCUUUCCUUACAUUUCCAGGCCUAUGUUUCUUCAUAUACACCAUGUAUGUUAUAGAAUGUAAUGAAAAGGGCCUUUGUGCCUACAAACUUAUACAA
Molecule: unclassified non-coding RNA, 281 nt
Filed under: plant metagenome
Description: partial contains small subunit ribosomal RNA and internal transcribed spacer 1
Rfam family: Eukaryotic small subunit ribosomal RNA (bases 1-46)
Source: RNAcentral